AUUACUUUGGCAGAUUAAUGUAAUAAAUUUAGAAUUUAUUUAAGUAAAAUAUUUACAGGUAAUA
RNAcentral lists this transfer RNA (64 nucleotides) under Habrobracon hebetor. RNAcentral describes it as "tRNA-Leu". The record is from RNAcentral. Lineage: Eukaryota; Metazoa; Arthropoda; Insecta; Hymenoptera; Braconidae.